RNAcentral lists this ribosomal RNA (255 nucleotides) under uncultured bacterium. RNAcentral's name for it is "partial 16S ribosomal RNA". It matches the Rfam family "Bacterial small subunit ribosomal RNA", at positions 524 to 776 of the family's 1533-position model. The record is from RNAcentral.
UACGUAGGGUGCAAGCGUUGUCCGGAAUUAUUGGGCGUAAAGAGCUCGUAGGCGGUUUGUCGCGUCUGCUGUGAAAACCCGAGGCUCAACCUCGGGCCUGCAGUGGGUACGGGCAGACUAGAGUGCGGUAGGGGAGAUUGGAAUUCCUGGUGUAGCGGUGGAAUGCGCAGAUAUCGAGGAGGAACACCGAUGGCGAAGGCAGGUCGUCUGGGCAUUAACUGACGCUGAGGAGCGAAAGCAUGGGGAGCGAACAGG